AUUGAACGCUGGCGGCAUGCCUUACACAUGCAAGUCGAACGGUAACAGGUUAAGCUGACGAGUGGCGAACGGGUGAGUAAUAUAUCGGAACGUGCCCAGUCGUGGGGGAUAACUGCUCGAAAGAGCAGCUAAUACCGCAUACGACCUGAGGGUGAAAGCGGGGGAUCGCAAGACCUCGCGCGAUUGGAGCGGCCGAUAUCAGAUUAGGUAGUUAGUGGGGUAAAGGCCCACCAGGCCAACGAUCUGUAGCUGGUCUGAGAGGACGACCAGCCACACUGGGACUGAGACACGGCCCAGACUCCUACGGGAGGCAGCAGUGGGGAAUUUUGGACAAUGGGCGCAAGCCUGAUCCAGCCAUGCCGCGUGCGGGAAGAAGGCCUUCGGGUUGUAAACCGCUUUUGUCAGGGAAGAAAAGGCUUCUGCUAAUACCGGAGGCUCAUGACGGUACCUGAAGAAUAAGCACCGGCUAACUACGUGCCAGCCGCCGCAGUAA
This 493-nucleotide ribosomal RNA is filed under the name uncultured bacterium. RNAcentral describes it as "partial 16S ribosomal RNA". It matches the Rfam family "Bacterial small subunit ribosomal RNA", at positions 30 to 523 of the family's 1533-position model. The record is from RNAcentral.